GCUAUACUGCAAGUCGAGCGAACAGACGAGGAGCUUGCUCCUCUGACGUUAGCGGCGGACGGGUGAGUAACACGUGGAUAACCUACCUAUAAGACUGGGAUAACUUCGGGAAACCGGAGCUAAUACCGGAUAAUAUAUUGAACCGCAUGGUUCAAUAGUGAAAGACGGUUUUGCUGUCACUUAUAGAUGGAUCCGCGCCGCAUUAGCUAGUUGGUAAGGUAACGGCUUACCAAGGCAACGAUGCGUAGCCGACCUGAGAGGGUGAUCGGCCACACUGGAACUGAGACACGGUCCAGACUCCUACGGGAGGCAGCAGUAGGGAAUCUUCCGCAAUGGGCGAAAGCCUGACGGAGCAACGCCGCGUGAGUGAUGAAGGUCUUCGGAUCGUAAAACUCUGUUAUUAGGGAAGAACAAAUGUGUAAGUAACUAUGCACGUCUUGACGGUACCUAAUCAGAAAGCCACGGCUAACUACGUGCCAGCAGCCGCGGUAAUACGUAGGUGGCAAGCGUUAUCCGGAAUUAUUGGGCGUAAAGCGCGCGUAGGCGGUUUUUUAAGUCUGAUGUGAAAGCCCACGGCUCAACCGUGGAGGGUCAUUGGAAACUGGAAAACUUGAGUGCAGAAGAGGAAAGUGGAAUUCCAUGUGUAGCGGUGAAAUGCGCAGAGAUAUGGAGGAACACCAGUGGCGAAGGCGACUUUCUGGUCUGUAACUGACGCUGAUGUGCGAAAGCGUGGGGAUCAAACAGGAUUAGAUACCCUGGUAGUCCACGCCGUAAACGAUGAGUGCUAAGUGUUAGGGGGUUUCCGCCCCUUAGUGCUGCAGCUAACGCAUUAAGCACUCCGCCUGGGGAGUACGACCGCAAGGUUGAAACUCAAAGGAAUUGACGGGGACCCGCACAAGCGGUGGAACAUGUGGUUUAAUUCGAAGCAACGCGAAGAACCUUACCAAAUCUUGACAUCCUCUGACCCCUCUAAAGAUAGAGUUUUCCCCUUCGGGGGACA
This 1000-nucleotide ribosomal RNA is filed under the name Staphylococcus sp. RNAcentral describes it as "bacterial SSU rRNA". It matches the Rfam family "Bacterial small subunit ribosomal RNA", at positions 48 to 1028 of the family's 1533-position model. Lineage: Bacteria; Bacillati; Bacillota; Bacilli; Caryophanales; Staphylococcaceae. The record is from RNAcentral.